GCCUCUCGAUCUCGGCGAAACGAGCGCCCGCGGGAAGGUAUAUUCAUCGUUAUAUUAUGUGCCACGCAAUGUGUUUACCAAUGACGAUCGCUCGGCUACCGUAAGUUUUUACGUUUUGGGGUGCAAAACAUACAGUUUUAAUCAACAGUGCCGUCGCUGCACCCUUGGGCCGCUCUUCAUUAGCCCGCUUCUUGAAAGUUGAAGACACGCUUUUUUGUUGCCGUGGGGGGGUGUUUUCAACCCCCCGUUUAGCUGGAGGAUCCUCUGGCUCGAGUUUCGAUCGUCGCUGUUUUUCCCCCCCCCGAGAAGGUCGAACGAAAAAACAAGGCGAUAAUUCACACCCGCGGAGCUAAAAAUAAGAAGAAAAAAAAAAAAAAAAAAAAAA
Molecule: long non-coding RNA, 385 nt
Organism: Copidosoma floridanum
Lineage: Eukaryota; Metazoa; Arthropoda; Insecta; Hymenoptera; Encyrtidae
Source: RefSeq, a predicted model, not a curated record